This 353-nucleotide unclassified non-coding RNA is filed under the name soil metagenome. Its description in RNAcentral is "partial contains 5.8S ribosomal RNA, internal transcribed spacer 2, and large subunit ribosomal RNA". The stretch from base 1 to 120 matches the Rfam family "5.8S ribosomal RNA", at positions 35 to 154 of the family's 154-position model. The record is from RNAcentral.
GAUGAAGAACGUAGCGAAAUGCGAUAAGUAAUGUGAAUUGCAGAAUUCAGUGAAUCAUCGAAUCUUUGAACGCACAUUGCGCCCACCAGUAUUCUGGCGGGCAUGCCUGUUCGAGCGUCAUUACAACCCUCAGGCCCCCGGGCCUGGCGUUGGGGAUCGGCGGAAGCCCCCUGCGGGCACAACGCCGUCCCCCAAAUACAGUGGCGGUCCCGCCGCAGCUUCCAUUGCGUAGUAGCUAACACCUCGCAACUGGAGAGCGGCGCGGCCACGCCGUAAAACACCCAACUUCUGAAUGUUGACCUCGAAUCAGGUAGGAAUACCCGCUGAACUUAAGCAUAUCAAUAAGCGGAGGA